UGGGGAAUAUUGGACAAUGGGGGCAACCCUGAUCCAGCAAUGCCGCGUGUGUGAAGAAGGCCUGCGGGUUGUAAAGCACUUUUGGCAGGGAUGAAAAGCACUGGAUUAAUAACCCAGUGUGUUGACCUAACCUGCAGAAGAAGCACCGGCUAACUCUGUGCCAGCAGCCGCGGUAAUACAGGGGGGUGCGAGCGUUAAUCGGAAUUACUGGGCGUAAAGGGCGCGUAGGCGGUCGAGUAAGUCGGAUGUGAAAUCCCCGGGCUUAACCUGGGAAUUGCAUUCGAUACUGCUUGGCUAGAGUGUGGAAGAGGGAAGCGGAAUUUCCGGUGUAGCGGUGAAAUGCGUAGAUAUCGGAAGGAACACCAGUGGCGAAGGCGGCUUCCUGGUCCAACACUGACGCUGAGGCGCGAAAGCGUGGGGAGCAAACAGGAUUAGAUACCCUCGUAGUCCCUGAGCGGGCUGGCAAGGCGCAU
Molecule: ribosomal RNA, 473 nt
Filed under: uncultured bacterium
Lineage: Bacteria
Description: bacterial SSU rRNA
Rfam family: Bacterial small subunit ribosomal RNA
Source: RNAcentral